RNAcentral lists this ribosomal RNA (253 nucleotides) under uncultured bacterium. RNAcentral's name for it is "partial 16S ribosomal RNA". It matches the Rfam family "Bacterial small subunit ribosomal RNA", at positions 524 to 776 of the family's 1533-position model. The record is from RNAcentral.
UACGGGGGGGGCAAGCGUUGUCCGGAAUUAUUGGGCGUAAAGAGCUCGUAGGCGGUCUGUCGCGUCUGCUGUGAAAACUCGGGGCUUAACCCCGGGCCUGCAGUGGGUACGGGCAGACUAGAGUGCGGUAGGGGAGACUGGAAUUCCUGGUGUAGCGGUGAAAUGCGCAGAUAUCAGGAGGAACACCGGUGGCGAAGGCGGGUCUCUGGGCCGUAACUGACGCUGAGGAGCGAAAGCAUGGGGAGCGAACAGG